AGAAGAAUUAACUAAGAUUCCCUUAGUAAUGGCGAAUGAACCGGGAAAAGCUCAAAUUUAAAAUCAUAUACCAAUAUGAAUUGUAGUUUAAGAAUGUUUAAUUACGAGUUAUCGAUACAUUAAUUUAACUGGAAAGUUAAAACAUAGAGGGUUAAAUUCCCGUAUAUAUGUAUUUAAAUAACUUUAUAAUUUUUCAUUUAAGAGUCAGAUUGUUUGGGAUUACAGUCUAAAUUAGGAGGUAAAUUUCUUUUAAAGCUAAAUAUUAGCGAGAGACCGAUAGCGAACAAGUACCGUAAGGGAAAGAUGAAAUAGAACCUUGUAAAGGGGUUUAAACAGAAAGUGAAAUCGUUAAGAGGGAAACAUUUAAAACUUGAAAUUGAUAACUAAAUAGAAGUAUACUUGUAUAUUUUGUUUUAGUUGUCUAUAAUAUCAAUAGUUAUUAUUGUCGUUUAAGAAUUGUAAGUACAAAAAUAUAAUGAAUCUUCGGAUUUGUUAAUAAAAGUAUUUAUGUAUUAAAUGAUAGUGAUAAUACCAAUCAUUUUCUUCGGACAUCUUUUAGAUCUUUACUAUUAAGCAAUAAUUUUUUUAAAAUUAAUGUUUAAAUAGUUUAGAUACAGGUGCUAUGAUAUAAAUAUUGAUAAUAGAGGUUUAAAUGACCCGUCUUGAAACACGGACCAAGGAGUCUAACAUAUCGGCGAGUACUAUAGUUUUAAACUAUAAUGCGAAAUGAAAGUAAAUUCAAGGUAGGAAUUUUUAUUAAUGCACUAUCGACCGAUUUCAUCUGGAUUCUUCUAGGAAAUUUGAGUUAGAGCAGAUAUGUUGGGACCCGAAAGAUGGUGAACUAUGCUUGAAUAGGGUGAAGCCAGAGGAAACUCUGGUGGAAGCUCGUAGCGAUUCUGACGUGCAAAUCGAUCGUAAAAUUUGGGUAUAGGGGCGAAAGACUAAUCGAACCAU
RNAcentral lists this ribosomal RNA (954 nucleotides) under Capillidium heterosporum. RNAcentral's name for it is "eukaryotic LSU rRNA". It matches the Rfam family "Eukaryotic large subunit ribosomal RNA", at positions 56 to 943 of the family's 3401-position model. The record is from RNAcentral. Lineage: Eukaryota; Fungi; Entomophthoromycota; Entomophthoromycetes; Entomophthorales; Capillidiaceae.